GGUCUCUCCACUGCGGGGCAGGCCCCUCGUUCCAGAGGGUUGCUGCAGACACAGCUUCCUCCCACAACCGAUUUAAGCAGAAGGACGUUCCUUCAGGUGCUACCGGCCAGUUGGCAGAAUUGCUGGGGCUUCAGGCUGGAGAAUCUCAGUGAGGAUGAAGGUCAGCUUCACACCGCAGAACAGGCGUCCCCAGCGUCCCUGAGCUGAUCCACUCCUCCCGCCUCUUUCUCUCGAUCUGGGCCUUCAGACGGGAUGGGAG
Molecule: long non-coding RNA, 259 nt
Filed under: Equus asinus (donkey)
Lineage: Eukaryota; Metazoa; Chordata; Mammalia; Perissodactyla; Equidae
Description: lncRNA (ENSEASG00005034482.1)
Source: RNAcentral